GCCCUUUAUGACCUGGGCUACACACGUACUACAAUGGCGUUUAACAAAGAGAAGCAAAGCCGCGAGGCAGAGCAAAUCUCCAAAAAACGUCUCAGUUCGGAUUGUAGGCUGCAACUCGCCUACAUGAAGUCGGAAUUGCUAGUAAUCGUAGGUCAGCAUACUACGGUGAAUACGUUCCCGGGCCUUGUACACACCGCCCGUCAAACCAUGAGAGUUGGCAACACCCGAAGUCGGUAGUCUAACCGCAAGGAGGACGCCGCCGAAGGUGGGGUUGAUGAUUAGGGUUAAGUCGUAACAAGGUAGCCGUAUCGGAAGGUGCGGCUGGAUCACCUCCUUU
This 337-nucleotide ribosomal RNA is filed under the name human gut metagenome. Its description in RNAcentral is "bacterial SSU rRNA". It matches the Rfam family "Bacterial small subunit ribosomal RNA", at positions 1197 to 1533 of the family's 1533-position model. The record is from RNAcentral.